This 664-nucleotide ribosomal RNA is filed under the name uncultured Acidobacteriota bacterium. RNAcentral describes it as "SSU rRNA". It matches the Rfam family "Bacterial small subunit ribosomal RNA", at positions 245 to 915 of the family's 1533-position model. Lineage: Bacteria; Pseudomonadati; Acidobacteriota. The record is from RNAcentral.
CUAGUUGGUGAGGUAAUGGCUCACCAAGGCUUUGAUCGGUAGCCGGUCUGAGAGGAUGGCCGGCCACACUGGAACUGAGACACGGUCCAGACUCCUACGGGAGGCAGCAGUGGGGAAUAUUGCGCAAUGGGCGAAAGCCUGACGCAGCGACGCCGCGUGGGGGAUGAAGCUUCUCGGAGUGUAAACCCCUUUCGACCCGGACGAAACGCCCGCAAGGGCUUGACGGUACGGGUAUAAGAAGCCCCGGCUAACUACGUGCCAGCAGCCGCGGUAAUACGUAGGGGGCCAGCGUUGCUCGGAAUUACUGGGCGUAAAGGGUUCAUAGGCGGUGCGGCAAGUCGGAAGUGAAAUCUCCAGGCUUAACUUGGAGGCUGCUCCCGAAACUGCCGUGCUUGAGUGCGGGAGAGGCCAAUGGAAUUGCAGGUGUAGCGGUGAAAUGCGUAGAUAUCUGCAGGAACACCCGUGGCGAAGGCGGCUGGCUGGACCGCAACUGACGCUGAGGAACGAAAGCUAGGGGAGCAAACAGGAUUAGAUACCCUGGUAGUCCUAGCCCUAAACGAUCAGGACUUGGGGUGCAUCCCGUCGGGGUGCGUCCCGUAGCUAACGCGUUAAGUCCUGCGCCUGGGGAGUACGGUCGCAAGACUGAAACUCAAAGGAAUUGACG